AUUGAACGCUGGCGGCAUGCCUUACACAUGCAAGUCGAACGGCAGCACGGGAGCAAUCCUGGUGGCGAGUGGCGAACGGGUGAGUAAAGUAUCGGAACGUGCCCAGUCGUGGGGGAUAACGUAGCGAAAGUUACGCUAAUACCGCAUACGAUCUAUGGAUGACAGCGGGGUAUCGCAAGACCUCGCGCGAGUGGAGCGGCCGAUAUCAGAUUAGGUAGUUGGUGGGGUAAAGGCUCACCAAGCCGACGAUCUGUAGCUGGUCUGAGAGGACGACCAGCCACACUGGGACUGAGACACGGCCCAGACUCCUACGGGAGGCAGCAGUGGGGAAUUUUGGACAAUGGGCGAAAGCCUGAUCCAGCCAUGCCGCGUGCAGGAUGAAGGCCUUCGGGUUGUAAACUGCUUUUGUACGGAACGAAAAGGUUUGGCCUAAUAAGCUGAGCUCAUGACGGUACCGUAAGAAUAAGCACCGGCUAACUACGUGCCAGCCGCCGCCGUAA
This 500-nucleotide ribosomal RNA is filed under the name uncultured bacterium. RNAcentral describes it as "partial 16S ribosomal RNA". It matches the Rfam family "Bacterial small subunit ribosomal RNA", at positions 30 to 523 of the family's 1533-position model. The record is from RNAcentral.